GGGUCGUUAACUCAGUGGUAGAGUAUCUGCCUUUUAAGCAGAGAGCCGUGGGUUCAAGUCCCGCACGACCCACCA
RNAcentral lists this transfer RNA (75 nucleotides) under Deltaproteobacteria bacterium. Its description in RNAcentral is "tRNA-Lys". It matches the Rfam family "tRNA". From Rfam's summary of the family: Transfer RNA (tRNA) molecules are approximately 80 nucleotides in length. The record is from RNAcentral. Lineage: Bacteria; Pseudomonadati; Myxococcota; Myxococcia.